GAUAUUUUUCUUUCACCGAUUUUGGUUAUUCUUGUUUUCAGUAAUAUUCUUAUCGUUGUUCUUUGUUGUGCACAAGCAUAGAUUCUCUGUUAGUUACAAUUAAGAUAUGGAUGAAUGUGCUCUGCAUGCCUCUGCUACUCUGCUUUGAUUCUCUGCUAAUAAAAAGAUAUCUUGCUUUUUGCCAUUGUCUUUUAGCCUCUUACUUUUCAAGGAUGCCCUUUCACCAAUUUUGAUUUUCUAGGUGGUUUUUUGCACAUUGUGUAGCUAGCUGGUGUACACUCUAUCACUCUUGCCUACUCAUGCAUAUUCAUCUCUUUUAUUCCAUUUUUUUCACUAUAAAAGACCCUUCUCUUGAUCCUUCUUUAAUCAUCCCCAUUACAUUUCUACUCUCUUCUUACUCUUCGCCUUUGCUCCCUCUUUUCCCACUUUUUCCCAAGGACAGAAUAUGAGCUAUUCACAUCAUACUAUGAGUUCUGGUAGUAGAGCUGCAAGGACAUUUGAGUUUGGAAGGACUUAUGUGGUGAGGCCCAAAGGGAAACACCAGGCUACUAUAGUUUGGUUACAUGGCCUUGGGGAUAAUGGUUGCAGCUGGUCCCAGCUGUUGGAAGGCCUUCCUCUGCCAAAUAUUAAAUGGAUUUGCCCAACUGCUCCUACUCGUCCUGUGGCUGUACUUGGGGGAUUUGCUUGCACUGCAUGGUUUGAUGUUGGAGAGCUUUCAGAAAACAGUCCAGAUGAUUGGGAGGGGUUAGAUGCUUCGGCAGCGCAUAUUGCAAACCUGUUGUCAACAGAGCCAGCUGAUGUUAAAGUUGGCAUUGGAGGCUUCAGUAUGGGUGCUGCAAUGGCCCUUUACUCUGCAACUUGUUGUGCUCUAGGAAGGUUUGGAAAUGGAAUUCCAUACAAUGUCAAUUUAAGGGCAGUUGUGGGACUCAGUGGCUGGCUUCCAGGUUCAAGAAUCUUAAGGAACAAAAUAGAAGGAUCGCUUGAGGCUGCAAGACGAGCCGCAUGCAUGCCUGUUAUGCUCGGUCAUGGAACUUGUAUGCAUAUCUAUCUUCUGAUGAUGUAGUCCCCUUUGCAUAUGGAGAGAAAUCAGCCCACUCCCUCAGUACAGCCGGAUUUCAACACCUUACAUUCAAAUCCUUUGAAGGGCUUGGCCAUUACACAGUUCCUAAAGAGAUGGAUGAGGUCUGCCAUUGGCUUACUGCAAGAUUGGGACUGGAGGGCUCUGGUGCAUAGUUUUAGCACAGCAUCAGUUUCUUGUUAAAUGUGACACAAGGAAACAAUAACAUGGGAGAAAAAUGAUAAACAAGUAGAUAGUAAAUAGAAAUGGUAUAGCUAGAUUAAGCUUGUUAAUUUUCCCAUUUUCUUGUCUGUCCUAACAAUAAAAAUUUUGUAUGCAUUUUUCUUAUAUUUCACUUGUAGACUGUUGAUGAUAAUGAAUCCUUGUCAGUUCUACUUUUGAAGCAUUUUUGUGCAUUCACUAAUGCAAUGAUAAAUCUAGUGAACUUGGCUAUUA
RNA transcript from Mangifera indica (mango), 1513 nucleotides. It is a transcript of the gene named acyl-protein thioesterase 2-like, with no coding region annotated. The transcript is spliced from 9 exons. The record is from RefSeq and is a predicted model, not a curated record. NCBI's taxonomy places the organism in Eukaryota, Viridiplantae, Streptophyta, Magnoliopsida, Sapindales, Anacardiaceae.